AGUCGACGGUGAAAGCGGAGCUUGCUCCGCCGGAUCAGUGGCGAACGGGUGAGUAACACGUGAGCAAUCUGCCCCAGACUCUGGGAUAAGCGCUGGAAACGGCGUCUAAUACCGGAUACGAGCUACGAAGGCAUCUUCAGUAGCUGGAAAGAACUUCGGUCUGGGAUGAGCUCGCGGCCUAUCAGCUUGUUGGUGAGGUAGCGGCUCACCAAGGCGUCGACGGGUAGCCGGCCUGAGAGGGUGACCGGCCACACUGGGACUGAGACACGGCCCAGACUCCUACGGGAGGCAGCAGUGGGGAAUAUUGCACAAUGGGCGCAAGCCUGAUGCAGCAACGCCGCGUGAGGGACGACGGCCUUCGGGUUGUAAACCUCUUUUAGCAGGGAAGAAGCCUUCGGGUGACGGUACCUGCAGAAAAAGCACCGGCUAACUACGUGCCAGCAGCCGCGGUAAUACGUAGGGUGCAAGCGUUAUCCGGAAUUAUUGGGCGUAAAGAGCUCGUAGGCGGUCUGUCGCGUCUGCUGUGAAAACCCGAGGCUCAACCUCGGGCCUGCAGUGGGUACGGGCAGACUAGAGUGCGGUAGGGGAGAUUGGAAUUCCUGGUGUAGCGGUGGAAUGCGCAGAUAUCAGGAGGAACACCGAUGGCGAAGGCAGAUCUCUGGGCCGUAACUGACGCUGAGGAGCGAAAGGGUGGGGAGCAAACAGGCUUAGAUACCCUGGUAGUCCACCCCGUAAACGUUGGGAACUAGUUGUGGGGUCCAUUCCACGGAUUCCGUGACGCAGCUAACGCAUUAAGUUCCCCGCCUGGGGAGUACGGCCGCAAGGCUAAAACUCAAAGGAAUUGACGGGGACCCGCACAAGCGGCGGAGCAUGCGGAUUAAUUCGAUGCAACGCGAAGAACCUUACCAAGGCUUGACAUAUACGAGAACGGGCCAGAAAUGGUCAACUCUUUGGACACUCGUAAACAGGUGGUGCAUGGUUGUCGUCAGCUCGUGUCGUGAGAUGUUGGGUUAAGUCCCGCAACGAGCGCAACCCUCGUUCUAUGUUGCCAGCACGUAAUGGUGGGAACUCAUGGGAUACUGCCGGGGUCAACUCGGAGGAAGGUGGGGAUGACGUCAAAUCAUCAUGCCCCUUAUGUCUUGGGCUUCACGCAUGCUACAAUGGCCGGUACAAAGGGCUGCAAUACCGCGAGGUGGAGCGAAUCCCAAAAAGCCGGUCCCAGUUCGGAUUGAGGUCUGCAACUCGACCUCAUGAAGUCGGAGUCGCUAGUAAUCGCAGAUCAGCAACGCUGCGGUGAAUACGUUCCCGGGUCUUGUACACAC
Molecule: ribosomal RNA, 1322 nt
Filed under: Microbacterium koreense
Lineage: Bacteria; Bacillati; Actinomycetota; Actinomycetes; Micrococcales; Microbacteriaceae
Description: bacterial SSU rRNA
Rfam family: Bacterial small subunit ribosomal RNA
Source: RNAcentral